Molecule: ribosomal RNA, 256 nt
Filed under: uncultured bacterium
Lineage: Bacteria
Description: partial 16S ribosomal RNA
Rfam family: Bacterial small subunit ribosomal RNA
Source: RNAcentral
UACAGGGGGUGCAAACGUUGCUCGGAAUUAUUGGGCGUAAAGCGCGCGUAGGCGGCUACCUAAGUCGGAUGUGAAAGCCCCUGGCUUAACUGGGGAAGUGCACCCGAAACUGGGUAGCUAGAGUGCAAAAGAGGGUCGCGGAAUUCCCGGUGUAGAGGUGAAAUUCGUAGAUAUCAGGAGGAACACCGGUGGCGAAGGCGGCCUGCUGGGCAGUUUAGCUGACACUGAGGCGCGACAGCGUGGGGAGCAAACAGGG